This 77-nucleotide transfer RNA is filed under the name Pseudoalteromonas sp. NBT06-2. RNAcentral describes it as "tRNA-Arg". It matches the Rfam family "tRNA". Rfam says of the family: Transfer RNA (tRNA) molecules are approximately 80 nucleotides in length. The record is from RNAcentral. Lineage: Bacteria; Pseudomonadati; Pseudomonadota; Gammaproteobacteria; Alteromonadales; Pseudoalteromonadaceae.
GUCUCAUUAGCUCAGCUGGAUAGAGCGAUCCCCUCCUAAGGGAUAGGUCAGAGGUUCGAAUCCUCUAUGGGACGCCA